GUCUACAGUCAUGUUACCCUGAACAAGCCCAAUCCCGUCUGAUCUCAGAAGCUAAGCAGGGUCGGGCCUGGUUAGUACAUGGAUGGGAGACCAGGAAGACCAGGUGCUGUAGGUA
RNAcentral lists this ribosomal RNA (115 nucleotides) under Pteropus alecto (black flying fox). The record is from RNAcentral. Lineage: Eukaryota; Metazoa; Chordata; Mammalia; Chiroptera; Pteropodidae.